UACGGAGGAUGCGAGCGUUAUCCGGAUUUAUUGGGUUUAAAGGGUGCGUAGGCGGCUUUUUAAGUCAGCGGUGAAAUUUUGCAGCAUAACUGUAACAGUGCCGUUGAUACUGGGGAGCUAGGAUUUGGUUGCUGUGGGUGGAAUGUGUGGUGUAGCGGUGAAAUGCUUAGAGAUCACACAGAAUAUCGAUUGCGAAGGCAGCUCACAAAGCCAAGAUUGACGCUGGGGCACGAAAGUGUGGGGAUCAAACAGGAUUA
This 257-nucleotide ribosomal RNA is filed under the name uncultured prokaryote. RNAcentral describes it as "partial 16S ribosomal RNA". It matches the Rfam family "Bacterial small subunit ribosomal RNA", at positions 524 to 780 of the family's 1533-position model. The record is from RNAcentral.